This 497-nucleotide ribosomal RNA is filed under the name uncultured bacterium. Its description in RNAcentral is "partial 16S ribosomal RNA". It matches the Rfam family "Bacterial small subunit ribosomal RNA", at positions 28 to 507 of the family's 1533-position model. The record is from RNAcentral.
GAUGAACGCUGGCGGCGUGCCUAAUACAUGCAAGUCGAGCGAACAGACGAGGAGCUUGCUCCUCUGACGUUAGCGGCGGACGGGUGAGUAACACGUGGAUAACCUACCUAUAAGACUGGGAUAACUUCGGGAAACCGGAGCUAAUACCGGAUAAUAUAUUGAACCGCAUGGUUCAAUAGUGAAAGACGGUUUUGCUGUCACUUAUAGAUGGAUCCGCGCCGCAUUAGCUAGUUGGUAAGGUAACGGCUUACCAAGGCAACGAUGCGUAGCCGACCUGAGAGGCUGAUCGGCCACACUGGAACUGAGCCACGGUCCAGACUCCUACGGGAGGCAGCAGUAGGGAAUCUUCCGCAAUGGGCGAAAGCUUGACGGAACAACGCCGCGUGAGUGAUGACGGUCUUCGGAUCGUAAAACUCUGUUAUUAGGGAAGAACAAAUGUGUAAGUAACUAUGCACGUCUUGACGGUACCUAAUCAGAAAGCCACGGCUAACUACGUG